Non-coding RNA from Onychostoma macrolepis, 1164 nucleotides. Lineage: Eukaryota; Metazoa; Chordata; Actinopteri; Cypriniformes; Cyprinidae. The record is from the annotation of a RefSeq genome assembly.
CACUUCAUCACUGACACACACAACAAUCUUCAUCAACAUGACCUUCAUCAUCAUCUUCAUCUGGACUCUCACAGCGUUUGCUCAAGAGUGUAGAGGACAGAUCACCGUCACUCAGAGUCCCUCAACGACAGCAGCUCGACCAGAAGAAACAGUCAAAAUCAACUGUAGAACCAGCACAGAUGUGUAUUACAAUGGAGCUUAUUAUUUUUUAGCCUGGUACUUACAGAAACCUGGAGAAGCUCCUAAACGCCUGAUUUAUGCUGCACAGCUCCUCCAGUCAGGAACUCCAUCUAGAUUCAGUGGCAGUGGAUCUAACAGUGAUUUCACUCUGACCAUCAGUGGAGUCCAGACUGAAGAUGCUGGACAUUAUUACUGUCAGAGUUACCACAGCAGUGGUGGUUAUGUGUUCACACAGUGAUGAAGAGUCGUACAAAAACCUCCGUCAGUCAGAGUCACAGAGACUGAACUGAUCCUGCAGCUGCUCAAACACUAUCACUCACUACUGACACACAGAGACAAACACAGCAACUACACAUGAGCUCAGAACUGAUUUACAUUGUUAUGUCAUUGUGCGUUGACAUCAUUGCGUAAUUACGACGCAAAAAUGUGUCACUACAUCAAAUCUCAGCAAAAAAAAUAUAUUUUAUAUAUGUUAAUAUUAAAAUAUAAAUAACUGUAUUUUUAAAUACAACACUGAAUUAUUGAACACUUACAUAGUUUUGAACUAUUAAUUUUUAAUUUAUUUAAUUUUUUAUUAGCUAGUGAACUUAUAAAACUACACAUUCUGAACAGUUUUAAGCAGUGUAUUAGUAGUUAGUUAGUGUGCUACAAUCUAAGAAAAGUCUGUAAAAAUAGGGCACAAUCUACUAUGUUAACAUUAAGGAAUUUCUUUUUACCUGCAUUUUUAAUUACGCAUUGUAUUUUGUGUUUCCGGGUUACAGGGUUACAACGGAUAAUGGAUAACACAUAAUGUCCUGAAAAAUCACUAGUACUAGUUCCAUUUUUCUAGAUAUUUUUCUUACAGUGUACUAAAUGAUCAACAAUCGCAGGUACAAGCUGAGGUGUAUCAUAAAUGAACAAUUAUUCAGUUAUUAAUAUCAAAUCGAACAAUUAAAAAUAGCAGCUAACUUCAUUCAUGUGAUGUGUGUGUGCUGGGCAUCUUUG